GUUGUAUAGUCAAGUAAUUAAGUGCAUGUGGUGGAUGCCUUGGCAGUCAGAGGCGAUGAAAGACGUGAUAGCCUGCGAAAAGCUCCGGGGAGGCGGCAAAUAUCCUUUGAUCCGGAGAUGUCUGAAUGGGGGAACCCACCUACUUUAAGGUAGGUAUUGCAACAUGAAUACAUAGUGUUGCAAGGCGAACGAGGGGAAGUGAAACAUCUCAGUACCCUUAGGAAAAGAAAUCAAUUGAGAUUCCCUCAGUAGCGGCGAGCGAACGGGGAUCAGCCCAUUAAGUUAUGUGUGUUUUAGUGGAACGCUCUGGGAAGUGCGAACGUAGAGGGUGAUAUUCCCGUACACGAAAGGGCACACAUAAUGAUGACGAGUAGGGCGAGGCACGUGAAACCUUGUCUGAAUAUGGGGGGACCAUCCUCCAAGGCUAAAUACUCCUGACUGACCGAUAGUGAACCAGUACCGUGAGGGAAAGGCGAAAAGAACCCCUGUGAGGGGAGUGAAAUAGAUCCUGAAACCGCAUGCAUACAAGCAGUGGGAGCACCUUCGUGGUGUGACUGCGUACCUUUUGUAUAAUGGGUCAGCGACUUAUAUUCAGUAGCGAGGUUAACCGUAUAGGGGAGCCGUAGAGAAAUCGAGUCUUAAUAGGGCGUUUAGUUGCUGGGUAUAGACCCGAAACCAGGCGAUCUAUCCAUGAGCAGGUUGAAGGUUGGGUAACACUAACUGGAGGACCGAACCCACUGUCGUUGAAAAGCCAGGGGAUGACUUGUGGAUAGGGGUGAAAGGCUAAUCAAGCCUGGUGAUAGCUGGUUCUCCCCGAAAGCUAUUUAGGUAGCGCCUCGGACGAAUACCAUAGGGGGUAGAGCACUGUUUCGGCUAGGGGGUCAUCCCGACUUACCAAACCGAUGCAAACUCCGAAUACCUAUGAGUACUAUCCGGGAGACAGACUGCGGGUGCUAACGUCCGUAGUCAAGAGGAAAACAAUCCAGACCGCCAGCUAAGGCCCCAAAAUCAUAGUUAAGUGGGAAACGAUGUGGGAAGGCAUAGACAGCUAGGAGGUUGGCUUAGAAGCAGCCACCCUUUAAAGAAAGCGUAAUAGCUCACUAGUCGAGUCGGCCUGCGCGGAAGAUGUAACGGGGCUAAAACUAUGUGCCGAAGCUGCGGAUNNNNNNNNNNNNNNNNNNNNNNNNNNNNNNNNNNNNNNNNNUUGACAUUAGUCAAGUGGUAGGGGAGCGUUCUGUAAGCCGAUGAAGGUGUAUUGAGAAGUAUGCUGGAGGUAUCAGAAGUGCGAAUGCUGACGUGAGUAACGACAAAACGGGUGAAAAACCCGUUCGCCGAAAGACCAAGGGUUCCAGUCCAACGUUAANGUAUACUUUGUAUACGUGGUAGGGGAGCGUUCUGUAAGCCGAUGAAGGUGUGUUGAGAAGCAUGCUGGAGGUAUCAGAAGUGCGAAUGCUGACGUGAGUAACGACAAAACGGGUGAAAAACCCGUUCGCCGAAAGACCAAGGGUUCCAGUCCAACGUUAANUCGGGGCUGGGUGAGUCGACCCCUAAGGCGAGGCCGAAAGGCGUAGUCGAUGGGAAAAUGGUUAAUAUUCCAUUACUUCUGUGUAAUGCGAUGAGAGGACGGAGAAGGCUAAAUCAGCCUGGCGUUGGUUGUCCAGGUGAAAGGAUGUAGGCAUGUAUCUUAGGCAAAUCCGGGGUACUCUAUGCUGAGAUCUGAUAGCAAGCUGUACUUGUACAGCGAAGUGGUUGAUGCCAUGCUUCCAGGAAAAGUCUCUAAGCUUCAGUUACACAGGAAUCGUACCCGAAACCGACACAGGUGGUCAGGUCGAGUAGACCAAGGCGCUUGAGAGAACUCUGCUGAAGGAACUAGGCAAAAUGGUACCGUAACUUCGGGAGAAGGUACGCUGUUGUUGGUGAUGGAACUCGCUUCCUGAGCUGACGACAGCCGCAGAAACCAGGCCGCUGCAACUGUUUAUUAAAAACAUAGCACUCUGCAAACACGAAAGUGGACGUAUAGGGUGUGAUGCCUGCCCGGUGCUGGAAGGUUAAUUGAUGGGGUUAGCGUAAGCGAAGCUCUUGAUCGAAGCCCCAGUAAACGGCGGCCGUAACUAUAACGGUCCUAAGGUAGCGAAAUUCCUUGUCGGGUAAGUUCCGACCUGCACGAAUGGCAUAAUGAUGGCGGCGCUGUCUCCAGCAGAGGCUCAGUGAAAUCGAAAUCGCUGUGAAGAUGCAGUGUACCCGCGGCUAGACGGAAAGACCCCGUGAACCUUUACUGCAGCUUGACACUGAACUUUGACCUUACUUGUGUAGGAUAGGUGGGAGGCUUUGAAGCUGGAACGCUAGUUCCAGUGGAGCCGUCCUUGAAAUACCACCCUGGUAAUGUUGAGGUUCUAACUCUGUCCCGUGAUCCGGGACGAGGACCGUGUCUGGUGGGUAGUUUGACUGGGGCGGUCUCCUCCUAAAGAGUAACGGAGGAGUACGAAGGUGCGCUCAGCGUGGUCGGAAAUCACGCGUAGAGUAUAAAGGCAAAAGCGCGCUUAACUGCGAGACCCACAAGUCGAGCAGGUACGAAAGUAGGUCUUAGUGAUCCGGUGGUUCUGUAUGGAAGGGCCAUCGCUCAACGGAUAAAAGGUACUCUGGGGAUAACAGGCUGAUACCGCCCAAGAGUUCAUAUCGACGGCGGUGUUUGGCACCUCGAUGUCGGCUCAUCUCAUCCUGGGGCUGAAGCAGGUCCCAAGGGUAUGGCUGUUCGCCAUUUAAAGAGGUACGCGAGCUGGGUUUAGAACGUCGUGAGACAGUUCGGUCCCUAUCUACCGUGGGCGCUGGAAAUUUGAGAGGAUCUGCUCCUAGUACGAGAGGACCAGAGUGGACGAACCUCUGGUGUACCGGUUGUGACGCCAGUCGCAUCGCCGGGUAGCUAUGUUCGGAAGGGAUAACCGCUGAAAGCAUCUAAGCGGGAAGCCUACCUCAAGAUAAGAUUUCCCUAGGACUUUAUGUCCUCUAAAGAGCCGUUCGAGACUAGGACGUUGAUAGGUUGGAUGUGGAAGCAUAGUGAUAUGUGAAGCUGACCAAUACUAAUUGCUCGUGAGGCUUGACUAUACAACACCCAAGCAGUUG
Molecule: ribosomal RNA, 3120 nt
Filed under: Acinetobacter baumannii
Lineage: Bacteria; Pseudomonadati; Pseudomonadota; Gammaproteobacteria; Moraxellales; Moraxellaceae
Description: bacterial LSU rRNA
Rfam family: Bacterial large subunit ribosomal RNA
Source: RNAcentral